Molecule: long non-coding RNA, 452 nt
Organism: Arachis duranensis
Lineage: Eukaryota; Viridiplantae; Streptophyta; Magnoliopsida; Fabales; Fabaceae
Exons: 2
Source: RefSeq, a predicted model, not a curated record
AGCAUUAUAUAUCUAGUUGUUUUUUUUUGGUGGUGCAGGCACUUAUUUAUCCUUGUGCGUGUUAUCUAAAGAUACACAACGGUAGAUUAUCAAAACUUGAGAUAACAAAGUGUGUAUUAGUUAUUAUUGUGGGGGUGCUAAGCUCUAUCGUUGGAACAUAUUCUGCUCUAUUAAGAAUAGCUAAUGGAGACGACUAAUUAGGAGAAUGUUUUUUUUUUUUCUUGAUCUAAAACUCCCCUCUUUCGAAAUGUUGUGCCAGAUAUUUUAGCAUAAAAUAUUUGGACUUCUCUAGAUAAAUUACGUAGGUCAUUUUAUUAAUUUGUAGUUAUGUUUUCUAGUUUAAAACAUUAUAUAGAUUAUAUACACAUGGGGUGAUCCUAGUAUUUUGGAAGAAACAUGCACAAGUAACGUGGUUGUACGUACUAAGGAUGAAUUGAACAUUACCACCAAAA